RNAcentral lists this small nucleolar RNA (90 nucleotides) under Trametes versicolor FP-101664 SS1. The record is from RNAcentral. Lineage: Eukaryota; Fungi; Basidiomycota; Agaricomycetes; Polyporales; Polyporaceae.
CUAUUGUGAUGAUUCUUAUAAUCAGUUCUGCUUCCGAAGGAGGGAAACCUCUUGUGGACAUCCUGAUACCAAAAACUCUCAUUCUGACAC